Molecule: long non-coding RNA, 488 nt
Organism: Amblyraja radiata (thorny skate)
Lineage: Eukaryota; Metazoa; Chordata; Chondrichthyes; Rajiformes; Rajidae
Exons: 2
Source: RefSeq, a predicted model, not a curated record
ACUUCAACUAUAAAUGUCUUUAGUCCUGUCACAAGCGACGAGUUGUCUGGCGCUGUCACUUCUGUAUUUUGGUGUGAGGAAUUACAAUUGCUCGGUGUGUACCACCAGGUAUUUGCCACGGUGGGGAAAAUUCUCGUAUUGAUCAUGUAACUGAACGCUGGCUGAAUCCUGAAUGCAUCCGUUGGAGGAAUAGUUAAAGCCCAGGUUUAUGAAAGCAUUUUUGGAGAGGGACGAGUGGAAGGGGACUAAUCCCGCGGUUCCCGGGCCCGUGCGCCUGUCACUUUAGGAUCACUUUGCCCCCGCCAUCUAUCUCCUCCUGAUGGGUCCAAAUUGCUGUCGAAGUCUUGGCUGCUGCAAAGUGAACGACUGGAGGGAGUUGAAGCAGAGCCAUUCGGUCGAGAUAACGGGGACUCCCUGAGAAAUAUAUUCCCUUCUGUUUUCAAUGGACCUUGGCUUCCCAGCCUAAAAUUAAAAUUAUUUUUGCUAUC